RNAcentral lists this ribosomal RNA (915 nucleotides) under archaeon enrichment culture clone C3-54C-A. RNAcentral's name for it is "bacterial SSU rRNA". It matches the Rfam family "Archaeal small subunit ribosomal RNA", at positions 1 to 922 of the family's 1478-position model. The record is from RNAcentral.
UUCCGGUUGAUCCUGCCGGAGGCUACUGCUAUUGGAAUUCGACUAAGCCAUGCGAGUCAAGGUGUCUUCGGACGCCGGCAUACGGCUCAGUAACACGUAGGUAACCUACCCUCAGGACUGAGAUAACCCCGGGAAACUGGGGCUAAUAUUAGAUAGAUAAAAGAUACUGGAAUGUUCUUUUAUCCAAAGCUUUUGCGCCUGAGGAUGGGCCUGCGCCCGAUUAGGUUGUUGGUGGGGUAAUGGCCCACCAAGCCUACGAUCGGUACGGGCAGUGGGAGCUGAAGCCCGGAGUUGGGGACUGAGACAAGGCCCCAGGCCCUACGGGGCGCAGCAGGCGCGAAACCUCUGCAAUGCGGGAAACCGUGACAGGGGGAUUCCAAGUGCUCACGCAUUGCAUGGGCUGUUCUUUGGUCUAAGUAACCAGAGGAGUAAGGGCUGGGCGAGACCGGUGCCAGCCGCCGCGGUAAUACCGGCAGCUCAAGUGGUAGCCGCGAUUAUUGGGCCUAAAACGUUCGUAGCCGGAUAAGUAAGUCUUUGGUUAAAUCCUGCGACUUAACCGUGGGAAAUCUAGAGAUACUGCUUGUCUUGAGACCGGGAGAGGUUGGAGGUACUCCCAGGGUAGGGGUGAAAUCCUGUAAUCCUGGGGGGACCACCUGUGGCGAAGGCGUCCAACUGGAACGGGUCUGACGGUGAGGGACGAAACCUAGGGGAGCGAGCCGGAUUAGAUACCCGGGUAGUCCUAGGCGUAAAUGAUGCGAGUUAAGUGUGGGGGCAUCCACGAGAUGGCCCUGUGCUGUAGGGUAGCCGUUAAACUCGUUGCCUGGGGAGUACGGUCGCAAGGCUGAAACUUAAAGGAAUUGGCGGGGGAGCACCACAAGAGGUGGAGGCUGCGGUUCAAUUGGAUUCAACGCCGGG